GACGAACGCUGGCGGCGUGCUUAACACAUGCAAGUCGAACGGAAAGGCCUGCUUUCCCUUGUGGAUUGCGGGUACUCGCGUGGCGAACGGGUGAGUAACACGUGAGUGAUCUGCCCCCAACUUGGGUAUAAGCCUGGGAAACUGGGUCUAAUUCCCGAUAGGACUGCAGGGUGGUGCCUGUGGUGGAAAACGAUUUUCUAGUGGUUGGGGAUGAGCUCGCGGCCUAUCAGCUUGUUGGUGGGGGAAUGGCCUACCAAGGCGGCGACGGGGAGCCGGCCUGGGGGGGUGGACGGCCGGAUUGGGGGGGAGGCGCGGCCGGGACUCGGGCGGGGGGCGGUGGGGGGGGGUGGAGGGCGAUGGGCGGAGGCCUGAUGGAACGAGCCCGCGUGGGGGAUGAGGGGCUGCGGGUUGGAAAGCGCUGGCGCGUGGGACGAAGCGUGAGUGAAGGUAAUGGGUAAAGAAGCACGGGCUAACUACGUG
RNAcentral lists this ribosomal RNA (480 nucleotides) under uncultured bacterium. Its description in RNAcentral is "partial 16S ribosomal RNA". It matches the Rfam family "Bacterial small subunit ribosomal RNA", at positions 28 to 507 of the family's 1533-position model. The record is from RNAcentral.